RNAcentral lists this transfer RNA (70 nucleotides) under Tremoctopus violaceus. Its description in RNAcentral is "tRNA-Pro". Lineage: Eukaryota; Metazoa; Mollusca; Cephalopoda; Octopoda; Tremoctopodidae. The record is from RNAcentral.
CAAGAAGUAGUUUAAUGAAAAUAAUAACAUUGGAAGUUAUAGAUUAAGAUUUGUUGAUUUUACUUCUUGA